AGCUUUGCGCAGUGGCAGUAUUGUAGCCUAUGAGGUUUAUCCGAGGCGCGAUUAUUGCUAGUUGAAAACUUUACCCAAUACCCCGCCUUGACGACUUGAAAUAUAGUCGGCAAUGGCAAUUUUUGACGGUCUCUAAGGAGA
The sequence is a small nuclear RNA, 141 nucleotides long. Its record names the gene U4. It matches the Rfam family "U4 spliceosomal RNA". From Rfam's summary of the family: U4 small nuclear RNA (U4 snRNA) is a component of the major U2-dependent spliceosome. The structure of U4 snRNA from yeast and human has been reported. U4 snRNA presents a k-turn RNA motif in the 5p-SL related to recognition of Snu13 protein. The record is from Ensembl.